GGUACCUGCAGAAGAAGCGCCGGCUAACUACGUGCCAGCAGCCGCGGUAAUACGUAGGGCGCAAGCGUUGUCCGGGAAUUAUUGGGCGUAAAGAGCUCGUAGGCGGUCCUGUCGCGUCUGGUGUGAAAUCCCGAGGCUCAACCUCGGGCUUGCAUCGGGUACGGGCAGACUAGAGUGCGGUAGGGGAGACUGGAAUUCCUGGUGUAGCGGUGGAAUGCGCAGAUAUCAGGAGGAACACCGAUGGCGAAGGCAGGUCUCUGGGCCGCAACUGACGCUGAGGAGCGAAAGCAUGGGGAGCGAACAGGAUUAGAUACCCUGGUAGUCCAUGCCGUAAACGUUGGGCACUAGGUGUGGGGCUCAUUCCACGAGUUCCGUGCCGCAGCUAACGCAUUAAGUGCCCCGCCUGGGGAGUACGGCCGCAAGGCUAAAACUCAAAGGAAUUGACGGGGGCCCGCACAAGCGGCGGAGCAUGCGGAUUAAUUCGAUGCAACGCGAAGAACCUUACCAAGGCUUGACAUGCACCGGAAACACUCAGAGAUGGGUGCCCCGUAAGGUCGGUGCACAGGUGGUGCAUGGUUGUCGUCAGCUCGUGUCGUGAGAUGUUGGGUUAAGUCCCGCAACGAGCGCAACCCUCGUCCUAUGUUGCCAGCGGGUUAUGCCGGGGACUCAUGGGAGACUGCCGGGGUCAACUCGGAGGAAGGUGGGGAUGACGUCAAAUCAUCAUGCCCCUUAUGUCUUGGGCUUCACGCAUGCUACAAUGGCCGGUACAGAGGGCUGCGAUACCGUAAGGUGGAGCGAAUCCCAAAAAGCCGGUCUCAGUUCGGAUUGGGGUCUGCAACUCGACCCCAUGAAGUCGGAGUCGCUAGUAAUCGCAGAUCAGCAACGCUGCGGUGAAUACGUUCCCGGGCCUUGUACACACCGCCCGUCAAGUCACGAAAGUUGGUAACACCCGAAGCUCAUGGCCCAACCGGUUUUCCGGGGGGAGUGGUCGAAGUGAAG
RNAcentral lists this ribosomal RNA (999 nucleotides) under Isoptericola sp. Its description in RNAcentral is "bacterial SSU rRNA". It matches the Rfam family "Bacterial small subunit ribosomal RNA", at positions 474 to 1467 of the family's 1533-position model. Lineage: Bacteria; Bacillati; Actinomycetota; Actinomycetes; Micrococcales; Promicromonosporaceae. The record is from RNAcentral.